Non-coding RNA from Phthorimaea operculella (potato tuberworm), 72 nucleotides. The record is from the annotation of a GenBank genome assembly. NCBI's taxonomy places the organism in Eukaryota, Metazoa, Arthropoda, Insecta, Lepidoptera, Gelechiidae.
CGGCCGAAGUCGCAAUGGUAGUGCGACUGCCUGCGACGCAGAACGUUCCGAGUUCAAUUCUCGGUGGGCCAU